GAUCAUGGCUCGGGACGAACGCUGGCGGCACGCUUAACACAUGCAAGUCGAACGAGAGAAGAGAAGCUUGCUUUUCUGAUCUAGUGGCGGACGGGUGAGUAACACGUUAGCAAUCUGCCUUUCAGAGGGGGAUACCGAUUGGAAACGAUCGUUAAUACCGCAUAACAUAAUUGAACCGCAUGAUUUGAUUAUCAAAGAUUUAUCGCUGAAAGAUGAGCUCGCGUCUGAUUAG
RNAcentral lists this ribosomal RNA (232 nucleotides) under uncultured bacterium. RNAcentral describes it as "partial 16S ribosomal RNA". It matches the Rfam family "Bacterial small subunit ribosomal RNA", at positions 15 to 244 of the family's 1533-position model. The record is from RNAcentral.